GACGAACGCUGGCGGCGUGCCUAAUACAUGCAAGUAGAACGCUGAAGAGAGGAGCUUGCUCUUCUUGGAUGAGUUGCGAACGGGUGAGUAACGCGUAGGUAACCUGCCUGGUAGCGGGGGAUAACUAUUGGAAACGAUAGCUAAUACCGCAUAAAAUGGAUUAUCGCAUGAUAAUUCAUUGAAAGGUGCAAAUGCAUCACUACCAGAUGGACCUGCGUUGUAUUAGCUAGUUGGUGGGGUAACGGCUCACCAAGGCGACGAUACAUAGCCGACCUGAGAGGGUGAUCGGCCACACUGGGACUGAGACACGGCCCAGACUCCUACGGGAGGCAGCAGUAGGGAAUCUUCGGCAAUGGACGGAAGUCUGACCGAGCAACGCCGCGUGAGUGAAGGAGGUUUUCGGAUCGUAAAGCUCUGUUGUAAGAGAAGAACGAGUGUGAGAGUGGAAAGUUCACACUGUGACGGUAUCUUACCAGAAAGGGACGGCUAACUACGUGCCAGCAGCCGCGGUAAUACGUAGGUCCCGAGCGUUGUCCGGAUUUAUUGGGCGUAAAGCGAGCGCAGGCGGUUAGAUAAGUCUGAAGUUAAAGGCUGUGGCUUAACCAUAGUACGCUUUGGAAACUGUUUAACUUGAGUGCAAGAGGGGAGAGUGGAAUUCCAUGUGUAGCGGUGAAAUGCGUAGAUAUAUGGAGGAACACCGGUGGCGAAAGCGGCUCUCUGGCUUGUAACUGACGCUGAGGCUCGAAAGCGUGGGGAGCAAACAGG
This 765-nucleotide ribosomal RNA is filed under the name uncultured Streptococcus sp. Its description in RNAcentral is "bacterial SSU rRNA". It matches the Rfam family "Bacterial small subunit ribosomal RNA", at positions 28 to 776 of the family's 1533-position model. Lineage: Bacteria; Bacillati; Bacillota; Bacilli; Lactobacillales; Streptococcaceae. The record is from RNAcentral.